Molecule: ribosomal RNA, 253 nt
Filed under: uncultured bacterium
Lineage: Bacteria
Description: partial 16S ribosomal RNA
Rfam family: Bacterial small subunit ribosomal RNA
Source: RNAcentral
UACGUAGGGUGCAAGCGUUAUCCGGAAUUAUUGGGCGUAAAGAGCUCGUAGGCGGUUUGUCGCGUCUGCUGUGAAAACUCGAGGCUCAACCUCGAGACGCCGGUGGAAACCAUCAGGCUAGAGUCCGGAAGAGGAGAGUGGAAUUCCUGGUGUAGCGGUGAAAUGCGCAGAUAUCAGGAAGAACACCCGUGGCUAAGGCGGCUCUCUAGUACGGUACUGACGCUGAGACGCGAAAGCGUGGGGAGCGAACAGG